GAUGAACGCUGGCGGCGUGCCUAAUACAUGCAAGUCGAGCGAACGGACGAGAAGCUUGCUUCUCUGAUGUUAGCGGCGGACGGGUGAGUAACACGUGGAUAACCUACCUAUAAGACUGGGAUAACUUCGGGAAACCGGAGCUAAUACCGGAUAAUAUUUUGAACCGCAUGGUUCAAAAGUGAAAGACGGUCUUGCUGUCACUUAUAGAUGGAUCCGCGCUGCAUUAGCUAGUUGGUAAGGUAACGGCUUACCAAGGCAACGAUGCAUAGCCGACCUGAGAGGGUGAUCGGCCACACUGGAACUGAGACACGGUCAAGACUCCUACGGGAGGCAGCAGUAGGGAAUCUUACGCAAUGGGCGAAAGCCUGACGGAGCAACGCCGAGUGAGUGAUGAAGGUCUUCGGAUCGUAAAACUCUGUUAUUAGGGAAGAACAUAUGUGCAAGUAACUGUGCACAUCUUGACGGUACCUAAUCAGAAAGCCACGGCUAACUACGUG
This 497-nucleotide ribosomal RNA is filed under the name uncultured bacterium. RNAcentral's name for it is "partial 16S ribosomal RNA". It matches the Rfam family "Bacterial small subunit ribosomal RNA", at positions 28 to 507 of the family's 1533-position model. The record is from RNAcentral.